This 465-nucleotide ribosomal RNA is filed under the name uncultured bacterium. RNAcentral describes it as "partial 16S ribosomal RNA". It matches the Rfam family "Bacterial small subunit ribosomal RNA", at positions 338 to 795 of the family's 1533-position model. The record is from RNAcentral.
CCUACGGGAGGCAGCAGUGGGGAAUAUUGCGCAAUGAGCGAAAGCCUGACGCAGCGACGCCGCGUGAGGGAUGAAGGUCUUCGGAUCGUAAACCUCUGUCAGCAGGGAAGAACGGUCACUGUGCUAAUCAGCAGUGAAUUGACGGUACCUGCAAAGGAAGCACCGGCUAACUCCGUGCCAGCAGCCGCGGUAAUACGGAGGGUGCGAGCGUUAAUCGGAAUUAAUGGGCGUAAAGCGCUCGUAGGCGGUAUGUCAAGUCUAGGGUGAAAUCCCCGGGCUCAACCUGGGAACUGCCUUUGAUACUAGCAAACUGGAGUGUGUUAGAGGAUAGUGGAAUUCCAGGUGUAGGGGUGAAAUGCGUAGAUAUAUGGAGGAACACCAGAGGCGAAGGCGACUAACUGGCACAAAACUGACGCUGAGGGGCGAAAGCGUGGGGAGCAAACAGGAUUAGAUACCCGGGUAGUC